GGGGAGGUGCCAGAGUGGUUGAUUGGGGCCGCCUGCUAAGCGGUUGUGCCUGAAAGGGUACCGCAGGUUCGAAUCCUGUCCUCCCCG
Molecule: transfer RNA, 87 nt
Filed under: Chloroflexota bacterium
Lineage: Bacteria; Bacillati; Chloroflexota
Also listed under: 1 other name
Description: Chloroflexi bacterium tRNA-Ser
Rfam family: tRNA
About the family: Transfer RNA (tRNA) molecules are approximately 80 nucleotides in length. Their secondary structure includes four short double-helical elements and three loops (D, anti-codon, and T loops).
Source: RNAcentral